This is a long non-coding RNA of Eleginops maclovinus (Patagonian blennie), 377 nucleotides long. RefSeq lists it as uncharacterized. The record is from RefSeq and is a predicted model, not a curated record. Lineage: Eukaryota; Metazoa; Chordata; Actinopteri; Perciformes; Eleginopidae. The transcript has 2 exons.
UUCAACUGUAAGGUGUUGAGAAUACCAGUCCGCUUUCAGAGUCGACAAAAGGCGUUGAAGGGCCUUCACAGUUGUCUCGCAGGGACACACACAGGUGGCAGUGAACAGGUCUGUCCACUAUGCAUGGUGACCUGAUGCCCCGAGGAAGGGACACACCUUUAUUUACCAAGACUUCUGACCCGGCAGGAAAUCAAGACAAUGACAAAAGUCCUAAAACGUAUGAUCGUCUACCGUUAGUUCAAGACGCAUAAUGAAUAGUCAUAAUUGUUUAACAGUGUGAGGGUAUGAUAAUUACUAAAAAUAGACAUUCUGUGAAGCAUUUGCAUGUUUAAUGACAUAAAAACACAAUAAAUGUGAUUCACUGAUGUUGCUAUGAA